This 31-nucleotide ribosomal RNA is filed under the name Leucoagaricus sp. G60. RNAcentral describes it as "partial 18S ribosomal RNA". The record is from RNAcentral. Lineage: Eukaryota; Fungi; Basidiomycota; Agaricomycetes; Agaricales; Agaricaceae.
GUAGGUGACCUGCGGAAGGAUCAUUAUUGAG